Molecule: ribosomal RNA, 594 nt
Filed under: Triticum aestivum (bread wheat)
Lineage: Eukaryota; Viridiplantae; Streptophyta; Magnoliopsida; Poales; Poaceae
Description: partial small subunit ribosomal RNA
Source: RNAcentral
AUGCACAGAGGAAGAGAACAAACUUCAUAUAUCCCUUUUUUACUCAAUCAAGAAACAAGAUCGGACGUGAUUCCGGUUCGUCUCCAUUUUAGUGACACUCUUCCUCAAGCAAGGCAGCCGAUAAGUCAUCGAAGGGUUUGUUUGAAUAAUGGACUGGUAACCAUUACUCAUUUGAAAGUUUCCCACGGUGAUCUAAUAUCUUUUAAAGAAAAUGACACGAGAACCCGCGGUUUUGAAAUAAGGAGAUCUUUAUAUAUCGACAUAUCAGUUGGAAAAAUCCUAGGCAAAUUCCUAUCGGCCAUAUCAGUUGGAAAAAGAAGAGGCAAAUUCCUACCGGCCAGAAUCUGGAGAAGAACAAAAAAAGAAUGGUUCUGCUUACUCACAACUCAGAGGGGAUGCCGCUUACUACUCAAAUCCAAGGAAUUGCAAAAGUUGCGUUCUUAUAUGCAAGAAGAAGACUUUGAAAGAACAAAGAAGUUUGGAUCCGCAAAAGUAUGCUUACGCAGUUCCUUCACUGAGCACAACAGAAUGAAGAGGAAUUCGUUUCAUUUCAAAUACUUCUUCUUAUUGAAAAGGGGGAAGGAGAAAAACUGA